This 1450-nucleotide ribosomal RNA is filed under the name human gut metagenome. Its description in RNAcentral is "bacterial LSU rRNA". It matches the Rfam family "Bacterial large subunit ribosomal RNA", at positions 1104 to 2569 of the family's 2925-position model. The record is from RNAcentral.
GCUUGGAAGCAGCCAUUCAUUUAAAGAGUGCGUAACAGCUCACUAGUCGAGGAGUUUGGCGUGGAUAAUAAUCGGGCAUAAGUGUUUUACCGAAGCUAUGGGAUACGUAAGUAUCGGUAGGGGAGCAUUCCACUCGGCGUUGAAGGCGAAGCGUGAGCUUUACUGGAGCGUGUGGAAAAGCAAAUGUAGGUAUAAGUAACGAUAAAGGGGGUGAGAAACCCCCUCGCCGCAAGACUAAGGUUUCCUGAUCAACGCUAAUCGGAUCAGGGUUAGUCGGGUCCUAAGGCUCAGCCGAACGGUGAGGCCGAUGGCAGAACAGGUUAAUAUUCCUGUACUACCUGUAGGAGUGAUGUGGAGACGGAGGAGUGACAACGCCGCGGACUGACGGAAUAGUCCGUUAAAGGGUGUAGAUGUUGAUUAUCCCAGGCAAAUCCGGGAUAAGAGUCGAACCUGACAGUAUACCAAUUUCCCCGGAAAACGGUAAUAGUGCGUGUAAACAUACUCCCAAGAAAAUCCGCUAAACUUAAUCUUAUAGGUACCCGUACCGUAAACGGACACACGUAGUCGGGUUGAAUAUACUCAGGCGCUUGAGUGAAUCACGGUUAAGGAACUAGGCAAAUUGACCCUGUAACUUCGGGAUAAAGGGUCCCUACCCGGUGACGGGAGGGCGCAGAGAAUAGGUCCAGGCAACUGUUUAACAAAAACACAGGGCUGUGCAAAAUUGAAAGAUCACGUAUACAGCCUGACACCUGCCCGGUGCUGGAAGGUUAAGAGGAGAUGUCAUCGCAAGAGAAGCAUUGAAUUGAAGCCCCAGUAAACGGCGGCCGUAACUAUAACGGUCCUAAGGUAGCGAAAUUCCUUGUCGGGUAAGUUCCGACCUGCACGAAUGGUGUAAUGAUCUGGACACUGUCUCAACCGUGAGCUCAGUGAAAUUGUAGUAUCGGUGAAGAUGCCGAUUACCCGCGAUGGGACGAAAAGACCCCGUGAACCUUUACUAUAGCUUAACAUUGAAUUUGGGUAAUUGAUGUGUAGGAUAGGCCGGAGACUUUGAAGCAGGCACGCCAGUGUUUGUGGAGUCGCUGUUGAAAUACGGCCCUUUGGUUAUUUGAGUUCUAACUCGCUGAUGCGAGGACACUGUUUGGUGGGUAGUUUGACUGGGGUGGUCGCCUCCAAAAGCGUAACGGAGGCUUCUAAAGGUGCCCUCACGCCGAUUGGUAACCGGCGGUAGAGUGUAAUGGCAUAAGGGCGCUUGACUGGGAGACUUACAAGUCGAUCAGGUAGGAAACUAGAGCAUAGUGAUCCGGUGUUUCCGUAUGGAAGGGACAUCGCUCAAAGGAUAAAAGGUACUCCGGGGAUAACAGGCUGAUCCCUCCCAAGAGCUCAUAUCGACGGAGGGGUUUGGCACCUCGAUGUCGGCUCGUCACAUCCUGGGGCUGGAGAAGGUCCCAAG